CCUACGGGUGGCAGCAGUGAGGAAUAUUGGUCAAUGGGAGGAAGCCUGAACCAGCCAUGCCGCGUGCAGGACGACGGCCCUACGAGUUGUAAACUGCUUUUGUACCGGGGUAAAAUGCCGUACGUGUAGGGUUUUGAAAGUACGGUACGAAUAAGGAUCGGCUGACUCCGUGCCAGCAGCCGCGGUAAUACGGAGGAUCCGAGCGUUAUCCGGAUUCAUUGGGUUUAAAGGGAGCGUAGGUUGUUUUAUAAGUUAGCGGUGAAAUACCGAUGCUCAACAUCGGGGCUGCCGUUGAUACUGUAGGACUAGAGUGCGGAUGAAGCAGGCGGAAUGUGUAGUGUAGCGGUGAAAUGCAUAGAUAUUACGCAGAACACCGAUUGCGAAGGCAGCUUGCUGGGCCGGAUCUGACACUGAUGCACGAAAGCGUGGGGAUCGAACAGGAUUAGAUACCCUAGUAGUC
This 460-nucleotide ribosomal RNA is filed under the name uncultured bacterium. RNAcentral's name for it is "partial 16S ribosomal RNA". It matches the Rfam family "Bacterial small subunit ribosomal RNA", at positions 338 to 795 of the family's 1533-position model. The record is from RNAcentral.